GACUGUUGAGCUAGAGGAAGAUGGUCCUGUGUGUAUUAACCUCAGUGCUCAACUUACUGAUGGAUUAUUUGAGUUUUUCUGUUUCUGCUGUGAAGUCACGGGAUCCCGAAUUUUUCUUCUUGAGGUUGGCGGGAUCCACACCCAAGUCCGCUCAUCACCCUGGAGACUCAGAAGGAUACCCUAUUAAACUUAUGAAAACCCAUGGGCAAACAUCUGUGUCCGGAACUCUGGAAGUCAAAUCUUAUCUCCUGGGAGUGGAACAGCAGAAUCCCUGGAUGGUUCUGUCUUUGACGUUCCUGUAUCCUUCACUCUGGACACCACCCCAUCAGCCCUUCAAAACCCUCAUGGGAAAGAGGAGU
RNAcentral lists this small RNA (359 nucleotides) under Pan troglodytes (chimpanzee). Its description in RNAcentral is "processed transcript". The record is from RNAcentral. Lineage: Eukaryota; Metazoa; Chordata; Mammalia; Primates; Hominidae.